Molecule: ribosomal RNA, 250 nt
Filed under: uncultured prokaryote
Description: partial 16S ribosomal RNA
Rfam family: Bacterial small subunit ribosomal RNA
Source: RNAcentral
UACGUAGGGGGCAAGCGUUAUCCGGAUUUACUGGGUGUAAAGGGAGCGCAGGCGGAAGGCCAAGUCUGAUGUGAAAACCCGGAGCUCAACUGCGGGAUUGCAUUGGAAACUGGUCAUCUUGAGUCUCGGAGGGGCAAGCGGAAUUCCUAGUGUAGCGGUGAAAUGCGUAGAUAUUAGGAGGAACACCGGUGGCGAAGGCGGCUUGCUGGACGAUGACUGACGCUGAGGCUCGAAAGCGUGGGGAGCAAAC